AACUCUCGACAACAGAUAUCUUGGCUCUCGCCAUGAUGAAGAACAUAGCAAAAUGUGAUACUUGGUGUGAAUUGCAAAAUCCCGUGAAUCAUCGAGUCUUUGAACGCAAGUUACGCCCGAGGCUGAGGGCACGCCUGCCUAGGCGUCA
Molecule: ribosomal RNA, 148 nt
Filed under: Amborella trichopoda
Lineage: Eukaryota; Viridiplantae; Streptophyta; Magnoliopsida; Amborellales; Amborellaceae
Description: rRNA 5_8S_rRNA
Rfam family: 5.8S ribosomal RNA
About the family: 5.8S ribosomal RNA (5.8S rRNA) is a component of the large subunit of the eukaryotic ribosome. It is transcribed by RNA polymerase I as part of the 45S precursor that also contains 18S and 28S rRNA.
Source: RNAcentral